Molecule: ribosomal RNA, 477 nt
Filed under: uncultured bacterium
Lineage: Bacteria
Description: partial 16S ribosomal RNA
Rfam family: Bacterial small subunit ribosomal RNA
Source: RNAcentral
GACGAACGCUGGCGGCGUGCUUAGCACAUGCAAGUCGAACGGUGAAGCGCCUUUCUUUUUGGUGGGUGUGGUUGAGAGGCGAACGGGUGAGUAAGACGUGAGUAACCUGUACUUUUGGUUAGGAUAAACGAAUGAAAGCGUGGUUCAUAUGGGAUCUUCUGGGUCUGUGGCGUGAUGGGUAAGGGUCAGCGGUUGCGGAGGUGGGGGCUGGGUUUGAGGCUUAUUAGCUGGUUGGUGGGGUAGUGGCCUAUGAAGGCGUUGCCGGGUAGCCGGCCUGAGAGGGUGACCGGCCACAUUGGGACUGAGAUACGGCCCAGCCUCCUACGGGAGGCAGCAGUGGGGAAUAUUGCAAAAUGGGCGGAAGCCUGAUGCAGCAACGCCGCGUGCGGGAUGAAGGUCUUCGGGUUGUAAACCGCUUUCGCCUGUGACGAAGCGUGAGUGACGGUAAUGGGUAAAGAAGCACCGGCUAACUACGUG